UAUGCGGUGGCGUAGUGGUAGAUGCUACGGUCUCCUACGCCGUGUGCUGCGCGGGUUCGAAUCCCGUCCCAAGAG
Non-coding RNA from Acanthoscelides obtectus, 75 nucleotides. The record is from the annotation of a GenBank genome assembly. Lineage: Eukaryota; Metazoa; Arthropoda; Insecta; Coleoptera; Chrysomelidae.